UACGUAGGGGGCAAGCGUUGUCCGGAUUUAUUGGGCGUAAAGAGCGUGUAGGCGGCCAUACAGGUCAGCUGUGAAAACUCGAGGCUCAACCUCGAGACGUCGGUUGAAACCGUAUGGCUAGAGUCCGGAAGAGGAGAGUGGAAUUCCCGGUGUAGCGGUGAAAUGCGCAGAUAUCGGGAAGAACACCAAUUGCGAAGGCAGCUCGCUGGAACGUAACUGACGCUGAGACGCGAAAGCGUGGGGAGCAAACAGG
Molecule: ribosomal RNA, 253 nt
Filed under: uncultured bacterium
Lineage: Bacteria
Description: partial 16S ribosomal RNA
Rfam family: Bacterial small subunit ribosomal RNA
Source: RNAcentral